UACGUAGGGUGCGAGCGUUGUCCGGAAUUAUUGGGCGUAAAGAGCUCGUAGGCGGUGUGUCGCGUCGGUCGUGAAAACCUGCAGCUCAACUGUGGGCUUGCGGUCGAUACGGGCAUCACUGGAGUUCGGCAGGGGAGACUGGAAUUCCUGGUGUAGCGGUGAAAUGCGCAGAUAUCAGGAGGAACACCGGUGGCGAAGGCGGGUCUCUGGGCCGAUACUGACGCUGAGGAGCGAAAGCGUGGGGAGCGAACAGG
This 254-nucleotide ribosomal RNA is filed under the name uncultured bacterium. Its description in RNAcentral is "partial 16S ribosomal RNA". It matches the Rfam family "Bacterial small subunit ribosomal RNA", at positions 524 to 776 of the family's 1533-position model. The record is from RNAcentral.